Stomoxys calcitrans (stable fly) is the source of this 1166-nucleotide long non-coding RNA. RefSeq lists it as uncharacterized. The transcript is spliced from 3 exons. The record is from RefSeq and is a predicted model, not a curated record. NCBI's taxonomy places the organism in Eukaryota, Metazoa, Arthropoda, Insecta, Diptera, Muscidae.
GAUGGCAAUACCAUAUAAUCAGAUGUUGAAAAAAACACGUUGCUUUUUUCUUCGUCGACCACCAACGCACAAGCAUCACCAAGCAAGACCGAAAAUUCCAAUAAAAAAAAACCUUUUUGGCCGGCGUUAUCCAAGGCAUCCUGCCACAAACCCACAGUUCGCCACAGCAUCAAUCGUGCCAAUUUGGAAUUCUACGUGGAAUUAAUCCAUGAGACAAUAAUACUGCUCGCCGAAACGAGCCAUCAUGCAAAUAAUUAAAUCAAAAAUAAUAUAUAUCUGGCCAGGGUCCAUUCACAGGAUCCCUGCGGCAUCCCCGCUAAAUCAAAGGGGGCACCAGACAUACAAGUGGGAGACAGCACCGACGCGGAAUUCCCAUGGAAUGCGCUGAAAACCCUUUCAUGCCGGCGACCGGCCGAAUAGUACACCCAUGCCCAUCCAUGCCUGUGUCCGAGUCACCCCCGCCCCACACGCAACAAAACUUCGGCCUUUUCCUUGGUCUCCAAAUAAAAGGUCGAUGUGCGUGUGUGGAAUCAAAUUAAGGUGACCUCCAGGAAGCAAUUUGGAUCUGAAACCCUCCACGAGCGCAUGAAGCACACGGGGCUUGUUCCAUCCAUAACACACCAGGGUUCCCCAAAAAGUGUGUUCACUUUCUUCAUCUAAAAAAAAAACCAUAAAGUCUCAACGCCUUAUUCUCUAAAAAACAACUGAAUAAACAAAAAGGUACGAUAAUUUCGUUUAACACAAAUAUAUCGAACAGACAAUUAAUAGAGAAAAUAUCUCCAACUAAUAAACAAUAAUCAUAAAAAUCGUGCUUUACGCUGAGUACUCUUUUCAGCUUUUCGAGCGGAACGCUGUCAAACUCCAUAUAAAAACACAUCGCUAAGCGUAAGCUAAAAACACGCUGAAAACAGGCUGAAAAAGUAGUACUCUGUUUAUGGUACGGAAAUGACAAAAAAGGCGUAAGUGGAAACACUUGAAACCAUUACCGGCAUCCUUUUUGUAUUUUUCAUUGUUUUUAAUGAUUCGUUUUGCAUUACUAACUUGUGAAAAAUAAAUUAAAUAGAGAGAACAAUAAGUGCAGAUAAAAAAAAAAGAACGUGUUUUGUCAAGGAAACAAAACCAUUUGAUUGCUGUCAAAUUCCGCUCGGGGAACAAUUAAAAACUUG